UAAUAAUGUGAAAAUAAUAUUAUUAUUACAAUAUAAUGGUAUUAAUAUUAAUAAUAAUAUAAAAAAUAUUUAAAAAAGAAAAUUAGGUACCACUUUGUGGGGAGGCUAAAUUAACUGAUUGACGAGGCCAUGAAAAAUCUCCAGGAAGUAUGCAAGUAUGCAAAGAAUGAGGAAACGACAGCUCCCCCGGUGGUCAGAAUACCCUCAUGAAAAAGCUGGAAUGUUAAAUAGCCUCUCUCUGUGUUUCUAUAUAUGUUGUGUGUCUAUGGCAUUGAAUGUUUGCCAUGUAUAUGUACAUUGUAAUCCACUCUGAGUCCCCUGUGGGGUGAGAAGGGCGGAAUAUUAAUACUGUAAAUAAAUAAAAUAAAUUAAUA
This is a non-coding RNA of Anolis sagrei ordinatus, 374 nucleotides long. The record is from RefSeq and is a predicted model, not a curated record. Lineage: Eukaryota; Metazoa; Chordata; Lepidosauria; Squamata; Anolidae.